RNAcentral lists this non-coding RNA (84 nucleotides) under Aggregatibacter aphrophilus. RNAcentral describes it as "Aggregatibacter sRNA 22". It matches the Rfam family "Aggregatibacter sRNA 22", at positions 8 to 90 of the family's 101-position model. The record is from RNAcentral. Lineage: Bacteria; Pseudomonadati; Pseudomonadota; Gammaproteobacteria; Pasteurellales; Pasteurellaceae.
CACAAAAAGCAACGCUUUUUGAACGUAGGCUAUGCCGACGGCCCCGUAGGGGUGAACAAUCAAGCUAGUCUUGAUUGUGAGUCC